CGGCAGACGGGUGAGUAACGCGUGGGAAUCUACCCAUCACUACGGAACAACUCCGGGAAACUGGAGCUAAUACCGUAUACGUCCUUCGGGAGAAAGAUUUAUCGGUGAUGGAUGAGCCCGCGUUGGAUUAGCUAGUUGGUGGGGUAAUGGCCUACCAAGGCGACGAUCCAUAGCUGGUCUGAGAGGAUGAUCAGCCACACUGGGACUGAGACACGGCCCAGACUCCUACGGGAGGCAGCAGUGGGGAAUAUUGGACAAUGGGCGAAAGCCUGAUCCAGCCAUGCCGCGUGAGUGAUGAAGGCCCUAGGGUUGUAAAGCUCUUUCAACGGUGAAGAUAAUGACGGUAACCGUAGAAGAAGCCCCGGCUAACUUCGUGCCAGCAGCCGCGGUAAUACGAAGGGGGCUAGCGUUGUUCGGAUUUACUGGGCGUAAAGCGCACGUAGGCGGACUAUUAAGUCAGGGGUGAAAUCCCGGGGCUCAACCCCGGAACUGCCUUUGAUACUGGUAGUCUCGAGUCCGGAAGAGGUGAGUGGAAUUCCGAGUGUAGAGGUGAAAUUCGUAGAUAUUCGGAGGAACACCAGUGGCGAAGGCGGCUCACUGGUCCGGUACUGACGCUGAGGUGCGAAAGCGUGGGGGAGCAAACAGGAUUAGAUACCCUGGUAGUCCACGC
RNAcentral lists this ribosomal RNA (670 nucleotides) under uncultured bacterium. RNAcentral's name for it is "bacterial SSU rRNA". It matches the Rfam family "Bacterial small subunit ribosomal RNA", at positions 96 to 800 of the family's 1533-position model. The record is from RNAcentral.